Molecule: long non-coding RNA, 1103 nt
Organism: Gymnogyps californianus (California condor)
Lineage: Eukaryota; Metazoa; Chordata; Aves; Accipitriformes; Cathartidae
Exons: 4
Source: RefSeq, a predicted model, not a curated record
GCAGAUUUGUUCUUCCUCUUCUUCCCAGGAAUUAGGUUUUGGUUUUUUGAGUACUUUCACAGGUUCUGGAUGUUUCUCCCUUCUUUCAAAGCAUCAGGUGCUGGAUUCUGUUAAAGGCAGGUUAUUGGCAUCACUGGACCUUUGACUCAGUGCUAAGCAGAUGCUCCACUGUAAUGAGAGGAAACAGAAGUGGAAAACGAGGAGGCUCGUACUUAAACAAAUGAACAGAUGCAGGGAGUGGAAAACAACAAGGAAGUGAAAAACACAUUGGAAACAACAGCCCUGCACAGGUGGUGAAUUAUGCUGCCAAAGUCAUUGCCAAAACAGAAUCAGAUCUUGAAUCGCCUUUCAAGCUGGGGAGCAAGCACAGAAGUUUUUUUCAUAGUGGAUGAUCCUCUAAUCCAACAGAAAAGGGCACAAAAACAUCCUGAGGCACCUAGGAAAGAUCUUGCUCGGUUAGCAAAUUGAGUCCUUGCUGUCAUAGAAAGCGAGUCUUGUGAUCUUUCCCAUAGGUUUAGGGAUCCUCCUAUUAAAACUAGUUAACAUUUUCCUAACCUACUCUUCUGGCUGGAAAUCUGUCAUUGACGGACAUGAACCAUCUUCUAAUUGCCAGCCUUAAUUUAUUCAUGACAUAGUUAAAUACCUUUGUUCUUGUACCAGCCUUAACCCUCAGCUUGAGAGGCUUUUCUUUCUCCCUGAUGUUUAUUACCCUCAUAUAUUUUGUAAAAUUGCAUAAAAACAGCAUUGUAGGGAACCAUUUAUGGUUAACUAGUCCCUAUCCUCAGCUCAAAGCCAACCCAGUCAUCCUGACAAAAUUCCUGAUUGAUAUUUGUGUAACCCAUUUGUGAACACAUUGAGCAGUGGAAACAUCCACGCUGCCCACAGUGGAUGCAUGCUAGUGUUUUGCUUCUCCACCUUCACAUCCAGGAAGAGAAAAUGUGCUGCUUCGUUUUUAACUUCAAAGGGGGGAAUUAAAAAAGAAUGAGGAAGAAUGAAAAAGCUUACUCUCUAGCCAUCUAGGCAAACCAAACAGGAAUAAAUACAUAAAAGGAGCAAUCAAAAGGGUCAAAUUCUUGGAUUAUAGCAUAAAUGCUUUAAGUAGA